RNAcentral lists this ribosomal RNA (387 nucleotides) under uncultured bacterium. RNAcentral describes it as "bacterial SSU rRNA". It matches the Rfam family "Bacterial small subunit ribosomal RNA", at positions 29 to 417 of the family's 1533-position model. The record is from RNAcentral.
AUUAAACGCUGGCGGCAUGCCUUACGCAUGCAAGUCGAACGGCAGCACGGGGGCAACCCUGGUGGCGAGUGGCGAACGGGUGAGUAAAGCAUCGGAACGUGCCCUGGAGUGGGGGAUAACGUAGCGAAAGUUACGCUAAUACCGCAUAUUCUGUGAGCAGGAAAGCAGGGGAUCGCAAGACCUUGCGCUCUGGGAGCGGCCGAUGUCGGAUUAGCUAGUUGGUGGGGUAAAGGCCUACCAAGGCGACGAUCCGUAGCGGGUCUGAGAGGAUGAUCCGCCACACUGGGACUGAGACACGGCCCAGACUCCUACGGGAGGCAGCAGUGGGGAAUUUUGGACAAUGGGCGAAAGCCUGAUCCAGCCAUGCCGCGUGAGUGAAGAAGGCCU